GUGCCCUUUAUGGUGGCUCAGAACUUUUUCAUUUUUACCCCCAAGACUUGUUUGUGUGGCAUUUUUGCCAUUGCACCUCAGGUAUACGUAACACAAAAGUGUUACAUUACCCCCUCCCCUGAUUUUUUUUAUUAUUAUUAAACACAUGUGGAAUUAAGAAUGUAAUAUAUAUUUUUUUAGAAUAA
Molecule: unclassified non-coding RNA, 185 nt
Filed under: Uromyces sp. H92840
Lineage: Eukaryota; Fungi; Basidiomycota; Pucciniomycetes; Pucciniales; Pucciniaceae
Description: ITS1
Source: RNAcentral